CAAAUCCUGCAGUCCAUCCAUUUGUGCUGUCUCGUAGAUCCACACAUCUUUGGAAAUACUUCAUUUCCCCGGAGGGCUCUGGCUUUACAAUUGACAGCAUCGGAACAAUUUCCACAGCAGCAGUUUCUGAUUUUGAAAGUGAAUCUAGAAGUUUUUCAAUGGUUAUUAAAGUGGUUGAUUCUGGAGGACUGUUUACAGCUGGAAAUCUAAAGAUUUUUCUCAUCAGUAUAAACAAUAAGGACCCCAUUCUUACCUGCAGAAAGUUGACAUCACAGUGGAUGAAGAAAUUCCAAUUGGGAAAAUGAUUGGAGUAUGCCAGGCAACAGAUGAAGAUAGCCUGGGGGAUUUAACCUUUGAACUAGAUCCACGGAAUGAUUACUUUGCAGUUGACAAAGAGUGUGGGACUGUGGUUUCUGCUACACAUCUUGAUGUGGAAAGAACUGGGUUUGCAAGUGUCCAGUCCUCCAUCAAGGCUUGUGACUGUGACUGGCGGUGUGCAGCAAUUCUAGUAACUGCCUAUAUCCAUGGCAUUAAUGACAAUUCACCUUUCUGUGAUCAGUACCUCAUUAGUUGCAAAACUCUUGUGUCAUGACCUUGAUGAGCCUCCUGAUACUAUCCAUUAUGCUCCUAGCUCAGGCCCAGUUGGUUCUGGACAACUCUUUGAGCAAGUGCCAGAUGCUGAAAAUGUCAUCCAGGUUGCUAAAGAGUUGGACUAUGAAGACCCUGAGAUAAUUGCAGGGGACAUACCUAUGAAAUAACGAUUUUAGUAUUUGAUGACCUACUUCCUUCCCAUACAGUAACUGUGACCAUCAUUGUGAAGGUUGCUCCUGCCAAUGACUUCAGCCCUGCAUUCAAAGCUGCACACUAUUCAUUCUCUGUUCUGGAAACGUCGGGAGCAUUCUACAAAGUUGGAAGAGUGAUUGCCAUUGAUGAAGAUCACCCACCAAACUGUGUGACAUACAAAAUAGCCAAUGGAGACACCCAGGUUAUACAAAGAUUCUGGAUUCAUCCUCUCUCUGGAAUGAUCGAACUUACCACACAGCCAGACUAUGAGUCUGUGAAGCAAUAUAACCUCACCGUGGAAGCUGUGGACUGUGACAGAUUUCACCCUCGUACAGCAAUGACCAUGGUCGCUGUUGACAUUGAAAAUGAGAAUGAUGAAGCACCUGUCUGCACACCCUCUCUAUAUAAGACAGUCAUUUUUGACAAUGUUGUUCUUGGGACAAAUGUCAAUGGCUUCACCUGAACUUCCACGACAGAGAGUCACAAGAUUUUGAAAUGCGUUUUGAGAUGGUUUCUGGAAACAAGAACCAUCAUUUUGGAUUUGACCCAACUUGAGGUUCAAAUACUCCAAAAUUAAUUGCGAAGAAUGCUUUCAAUUUUGAAUCUAGAGCUGAAGUACAGCGGCAGUACCAUCUUGUUGUGCAUAUAAUUGAUGAUAACUUGAAAUAUGGCAAAUCCACCAAGCCCAGGACGGGCACCGCUGUUAUAGAUAUUUAUGUAAGAAGAGCCAAUAUGCCACCUCCUCCAACCACUAGUUCUGAACAAAGAAAAAGUCUGACCAUCGUGUACACAGCUAUAAACACGUACAAAUCCAAUGACUGGUACAUUCCUUUUAUCUUCACUCUGAUGGCUAUUUUCUUUGCUGGGUUGAUUUCCUGGGUAUGUUUCCUGCUUUGGAAAUAUGGAAACAUUAUGGAAUGCUGUCAGAAAAUGACCAAGGAAGGCCAAACCCAAGUGAUGGAACUCAAAAGGAAAAUAUUGUCACAGGAAACAGAAAUAAAAAAUUAGAAGUAUUAACAGAAACCACUGUAUAUGAGACUGUGUUUGAUGGAGAAGCCAUUGAUCCACUCUCUGGGAAAGUAUAUGAAUAUAACAGCAGAACAGGUGCAAGAAAGUGGAAGAAGACCUCUAGGCACCAGAAGGAGCCCUUGGCAAACAUACAUUCCCUCCCAGAGGUCCAUCCUUUAGAGGCGUCCAUAUCCUUAAAAAUUCCUUUGCAAGGAUAGCGUUUUUCCAGAGCCUGAAUGAUUGCUUUUUUGUGUAUAUGAUUGUCACAGGCGGUUUUUCUUGGCUACCUAAAAUUAUAGACAUGAGGCCAGCUGCUUUGUCUGUGUUUAUAGCUUUCUGUGGUCUUCCAUUUCAGGGUGUCUGUGUGAAGGCGGAAGGAGUGGUGAGCUUUGAAUCUCUGAACAUGUUUUGCUGAAAACGAGAUACUAAAUUGACAUAUGUUCAUUGUCUUAAUUUGCCCAGUAGAGUGUAUGCUUUUUAAGAUCAGAGACUAUUUUGCUCACUGCUUUAGCCCCAGUACAUGUUUGGCACAGACUGGGGACUCUGUAUACAUUUGUGAACAAAUAAAUUUGAAUAUAU
This 2370-nucleotide small RNA is filed under the name Pongo abelii (Sumatran orangutan). RNAcentral's name for it is "transcribed unitary pseudogene". The record is from RNAcentral. Lineage: Eukaryota; Metazoa; Chordata; Mammalia; Primates; Hominidae.